UGCCUUUAAUCAAGAGGAUGAAGGGGAUC
This 29-nucleotide non-coding RNA is filed under the name Rattus norvegicus (Norway rat). The record is from RNAcentral. Lineage: Eukaryota; Metazoa; Chordata; Mammalia; Rodentia; Muridae.